RNAcentral lists this ribosomal RNA (851 nucleotides) under Streptomyces sp. RNAcentral's name for it is "bacterial SSU rRNA". It matches the Rfam family "Bacterial small subunit ribosomal RNA", at positions 9 to 873 of the family's 1533-position model. The record is from RNAcentral. Lineage: Bacteria; Bacillati; Actinomycetota; Actinomycetes; Kitasatosporales; Streptomycetaceae.
GAGUUUGAUCCUGGCUCAGGACGAACGCUGGCGGCGUGCUUAACACAUGCAAGUCGAACGAUGAACCUCUUCGGAGGGGAUUAGUGGCGAACGGGUGAGUAACACGUGGGCAAUCUGCCCUGCACUCUGGGACAAGCCCUGGAAACGGGGUCUAAUACCGGAUAUGACCUGCGACCGCAUGGUCUGUACGUGGAAAGCUCCGGCGGUGCAGGAUGAGCCCGCGGCCUAUCAGCUUGUUGGUGGGGUGAUGGCCUACCAAGGCGACGACGGGUAGCCGGCCUGAGAGGGCGACCGGCCACACUGGGACUGAGACACGGCCCAGACUCCUACGGGAGGCAGCAGUGGGGAAUAUUGCACAAUGGGCGAAAGCCUGAUGCAGCGACGCNGCGUGAGGGAUGACGGCCUUCGGGUUGUAAACCUCUUUCAGCAGGGAAGAAGCGCAAGUGACGGUACCUGCAGAAGAAGCACCGGCUAACUACGUGCCAGCAGCNNNNNUAAUNNGUAGGGUGCGAGCGUUGUCCGGAAUUAUUGGGCGUAAAGAGCUCGUAGGCGGCUUGUCACGUCGGAUGUGAAAGCCCGGGGCUUAACCCCGGGUCUGCAUUCGAUACGGGCAGGCUAGAGUUCGGUAGGGGAGAUCGGAAUUCCUGGUGUAGCGGUGAAAUGCGCAGAUAUCAGGAGGAACACCGGUGGCGAAGGNGGAUCUCUGGGCCGAUACUGACGCUGAGGAGCGAAAGCGUGGGGAGCGAACAGGAUUAGAUACCCUGGUAGUCCACGCNGUAAACGUUGGGAACUAGGUGUGGGCGACAUUCCACGUCGUCCGUGCCGCAGCUAACGCAUUAAGUUCCCNNCCU